RNAcentral lists this unclassified non-coding RNA (254 nucleotides) under Actinia tenebrosa (Australian red waratah sea anemone). RNAcentral's name for it is "kelch-like protein 3, transcript variant X1". The record is from RNAcentral. Lineage: Eukaryota; Metazoa; Cnidaria; Anthozoa; Actiniaria; Actiniidae.
AAAUGGCGGGAGAAGAAGGUUCAACUUUUGGAAGCACAGAUGCCUGCCUUUCUUCACGUUUCUUACAAACCUUGAACGAAAUGAGACUGCAAGGAGUAUUCUGUGAUGUAUCACUUAAGGAUAUAACACAGAAGAAAGAUGCGCUUUAAACACAGUUGAAGUAUUUACUCCAUCAACUGAUACCUGGCAGAAUACGAGUCCGUUAACUGCUCCAAGGCGACGGUUUGGCAGUGCUGUAGUAAAUGGUAUGAUCU